Molecule: ribosomal RNA, 497 nt
Filed under: uncultured bacterium
Lineage: Bacteria
Description: partial 16S ribosomal RNA
Rfam family: Bacterial small subunit ribosomal RNA
Source: RNAcentral
GAUGAACGCUGGCGGUGUGCCUAAUACAUGCAAGUCGAGCGAACAGACGAGGAGCUUGCUCCUCUGACGUUAGCGGCGGACGGGUGAGUAACACGUGGAUAACCUACCUAUAAGACUGGGAUAACUUCGGGAAACCGGAGCUAAUACCGGAUAAUAUAUUGAACCGCAUGGUUCAAUAGUGAAAGACGGUUUUGCUGUCACUUAUAGAUGGAUCCGCGCCGCAUUAGCUAGUUGGUAAGGUAACGGCUUGCCAAGGCAACGAUGCGUAGCCGACCUGAGAGGGUGAUCGGCCACACUGGAACUGAGACACGGUCCAGACUCCUACGGGAGGCAGCAGUAGGGAAUCUUCCGCAAUGGGCGAAAGCCUGACGGAGCAACGCCGCGUGAGUGAUGAAGGUCUUCGGAUCGUAAAACUCUGUUAUUAGGGAAGAACAAAUGUGUAAGUAACUAUGCACGUCUUGACGGUACCUAAUCAGAAAGCCACGGCUAACUACGUG